Molecule: ribosomal RNA, 253 nt
Filed under: uncultured bacterium
Lineage: Bacteria
Description: partial 16S ribosomal RNA
Rfam family: Bacterial small subunit ribosomal RNA
Source: RNAcentral
UACGUAGGGGGCGAGCGUUGUUCGGAAUCACUGGGCGUAAAGGGAGCGUAGGCGGGACCGUAAGUUAGGAGUCUAAUUCUCAGGCUUAACCUGAGGCCGGCUUUUAAUACUGCGGUUCUUGAGUAAGGAAGAGGGAGAUGGAAUUUCAGGUGUAGCGGUGGAAUGCGUAGAUAUCUGAAAGAACACCAGCAGCGAAGGCGGUCUCCUGGUCCUAUACUGACGCUGAGGCUCGAAAGUUAGGGGAGCAAACAGG